CGCGCAGACGGUUAUUUAAGCAGGAUGUGAAAUCCCCGAGCUCAACUUGGGAACUGCGUACUGAACUGGGUAACUAGAGUGUGUCGGAGGGGGUAGAAUUCCACGUGUAGCAGUGAAAUGCGUAGAGAUGUGGAGGAAUACCGAUGGCGAAGGCAGCCCCCUGGGAUAACACUGACGUUCAUGCUCGAAAGCGUGGUAUCAAACA
This 205-nucleotide ribosomal RNA is filed under the name uncultured bacterium. Its description in RNAcentral is "partial 16S ribosomal RNA". It matches the Rfam family "Bacterial small subunit ribosomal RNA", at positions 568 to 774 of the family's 1533-position model. The record is from RNAcentral.